Molecule: long non-coding RNA, 973 nt
Organism: Alexandromys fortis (reed vole)
Lineage: Eukaryota; Metazoa; Chordata; Mammalia; Rodentia; Cricetidae
Exons: 4
Source: RefSeq, a predicted model, not a curated record
UGCACCAGAGACUAUGAGGGGAUUUGUCCCCUUAAUGAACAUUUAUUGAGCAGUGACCUUGUGCCAGGCACUCUUCUGAACGUCGGCAAUCCGAAGAUAAAUACAUCAUGAUCUUUAUCCCCCGGGGGCUCAUUACCAAGUGAGAAAGACGGAUUAGACGUUUCAACAGCAGCUAGCAUUCAACAGACACUACUCAAUUGAAAAUGUGUACGAAGUCCGUGGCUGUAAGGAGGGAGCACUCUGACUGUCGGACAGCCCAGGAGGACAUGUCCAUAGCUGGUGACAUUUGAAUCAAUCCUUGAAGGAAGAGGAACCUACCAGAUGGAGAAAUGGCAACACUGUUCAAGAAGAUGGAGCUGAGCAUUUGCUCAGCUGGCAGAGUGCUUACCCACCACGCGCAAUGUCCUAGGUUGAACUUAGUGUGGCGGUGCUUCCUGUAAUCCCAGUACUCAGGGCGUGUAGGAGGAUCAGAAAUUCAAGGCCACCGUCAGAGACUUCAGGAUUUCUCAGCAUUCCAGUCUGUAGCUACACUUGGGACAUGCCAACUCAGGAUUCACAGUGGAUUGCUUGCCUCAGAGCCUUCUCUCUGGAAAGACCUCCUCCAUGUUUCUGCGCCAUCUUCAAUCCCAAGAAGACAAUCAUCAGACAAUGGGCCGAGCCUGAAGGAAAGGACAGAGUGCUCGGCUGCAGACGCUGCCUCCGAACAGAGCAAUCAGGCUUCAUUCAUUCUCCUUCUCAGCUCAUUAUGUCAGCCUUUAUUAUACAAAACUGUCAAUUCCAUGGCACAGUGACAGAAAAAUAUUUGGAACAAUUCAUGAGAUAUGUUUACCACACCGGCUAGCAGGAAAGAAAUGAGCUAAAAGGAAUUUGCUGAAGAAUAUUCUCAGCCUUAGGUGUUCACUGACGGGUUCAUACAUCUGCUUAGGAAGGAGCAGCUCCUGGCUCUUGAGUGUGCUUUGGAAAAUGCAGUGUG